Molecule: long non-coding RNA, 2023 nt
Filed under: Arabidopsis lyrata
Lineage: Eukaryota; Viridiplantae; Streptophyta; Magnoliopsida; Brassicales; Brassicaceae
Description: long non-coding RNA (ALYR_LNC003352)
Source: RNAcentral
UGUGCAGCUUAAUAAUGUCAACAAUCCACACUUUCUCAUCAUGCAAGGUAGAAUCACCAAAGUCUUAAACAUGAAACCUCCCGAGAUACUGUGGGUGCUGGAACAAGAAUGUAUGAAAACAAGAAAGAAAGAAUGUUCAACAGUAGAGGAAGAAGAAGAAGAAGAUGAGACAUGGAGGAGCGAGAUAGUAACAAGGGUGAUGAGAAUCGUGAGCAAGAGAUUGAUCUUUUUUACUCUGCUACCUUGAUGGUCUUAAGGUUCGUGUUUCCUUUGGAAGUAGUCUUUAUCAGAUGACAGCAGAGGGCAAAGUAAGUGUUGCUUCUCUUCAAACCGGCGCCUCCUUUAUAUAUUACAUUCACCUCUGCUUUUUCAUUCUCAGAUUGAUUUGUCAAAAGUUGUCGGUAAUGUAUCUUUCGUAAAAAACUGAUCCGUGUUACAAUCAAUGAUUUUGAAUUAUUCAGGUUGAUGCAGCUCUUGAUCCAAGUCACACACACAACAUAGGAAGAAGCUCAUUUCCCUCACUCGCAGGUCAAAAUAUCACACACACAACUAUUCAUCUAUGUGUGGCAAGCUUAAUAUUUUUGACCAUACAUAUAGAUAUAUUUUUUCAUAAAAAAAAAGGUCUAAAUAGAAGUAAAAAGAGUCUAAAAUAACACCAAUCUAUUUUUUUUUUGGUGCAAAAAAUAACACCAAUAAUCUAUGGCUAAUCCUUAGAUAAUGGUAAUAUGCUUGAACUUGGAUUGGAUUUACUAAGUGCUUCCUCGAUAUCCUCAUGAUAGUCCGGACAGUGGUUGCAUGUGCAUAUGCAGUUCUUGGCUUCCGACGAAGAUCUAUGUUCCUCAAUUAAACCUAGUUUAAAAAUUAGGUAUAGAAGAGCCAAUAGGAUUAAGUAGAAUAUACCGCCGAUCACAAAAAGAGCAACCUCCAGCAAUCCCCACGCCAUUGAAGGAAAUUAUUUAAUGGGAAAAUAAAGAAACGUAAAAUCUUCCAUUAGGCUGUGUAUUAUAUAUAUAUAUACUCGAGGAUUCAUUGGGUCAGAGAUUAUUUAGGAUCAGGAUACCUAUGAAUAUUCCACAAGAGUCUUGGAUUAUAUUUAUAUAUAUAAAUUCGUCAUUUAUCUUUAUAAAAUAAAGUAAAAGUUUUUUUUCUCCUAAGGAUAACACAACAAAGAUAUAUACGGUAUUUUCACAUAUGUCACAAGAUAGAUUUUGUAUCCUCUUUCGUGUUUCGAUAUAUCUUCAUAACACAAUACUAAAAAAGAUUUGCAUAUUGAUGGGAUGAACUUAAAGGAUUCUCGGAGAUCGUUAUGCGUAUCGGCUUGGAGAAUCGAAGCAAGGGUGCUCGAAUGAUAUAAGAUUUAUCGAUCAAAGACAAGUCAUACGUUGUGACUAGAUGAUGAAGAAAUAUAGCCAUCCCAAGCCUAGCAAACUCUGCUCCUGCACAUAGUCUUGCACCACCACCAAACGCCAUGAACGUUUUAGAGCCACAAAGCAAUUCCUUCCCCUCCCAUCUCCAUGGAUUAAACUCACAUGGUUGUUCAUAGAUUUGAGGGUCAUAAUGAAGAAGAGAUGGAACAACCAAUACAAUCCAUCCUGCUGGAAUUGUAUACCCUGCAACCACAACACGAUUUUGAAUUAGAUCAUUGGUAACAAACUUAUAGUUAUUUACCAAAGUCUUAAACAUGAAACCUCCCGAGAUACUAUGGGUGCUGGAACAAGAAUGUAUGAAAACAAGAAAGAAAGAAUGUUCAACAGUAGAGGAAGAAGAAGAAGAAGAAGAGACAUGGAGGAGCGAGAUAGUAACAAGGGUGAUGAGAAUCGUGAGCAAGAGAUUGAUCUUUUUUACUCUGCUACCUUGAUGGUCUUGAGGUUCGUGUUUCCUUUGGAAGUAGUCUUUAUCAGAUGACAGCAGAGGGCAAAGUACGUGUUGCUUCUCUUCAAACCGGCGCCUCCUUUUUAUAUUACAUUCACCUCUGCUUUUUCAUUCUAUUAAGCAUAUAAUUGUAUAUAGUUAUUUAGUAUAU